RNAcentral lists this ribosomal RNA (800 nucleotides) under uncultured bacterium. Its description in RNAcentral is "bacterial SSU rRNA". It matches the Rfam family "Bacterial small subunit ribosomal RNA", at positions 8 to 840 of the family's 1533-position model. The record is from RNAcentral.
AGAGUUUGAUCCUGGCUCAGAAUCAACGCUGGCGGCGCGCUUAACACAUGCAAGUCGCACGAGAAAGGGGAGCAAUCCCUGAGUACAGUGGCGUACGGGUGAGUAACACGUGGAUGAUCUACCUUCUAGUGGGGAAUAACCCUGGGAAACCGGGGCUAAUACCGCAUAAGCUCGAGAGAGGAAAGCAGCAAUGCGCUGGAAGAGGAGUCCGCGGCCGAUUAGCUAGUUGGCAGGGUAAAAGCCUACCAAGGCAGAGAUCGGUAGCCGGCCUGAGAGGGCACGCGGCCACACUGGCACUGAAACACGGGCCAGACUCCUACGGGAGGCAGCAGUGGGGAAUCUUGCACAAUGGGGGAAACCCUGAUGCAGCGACGCCGCGUGAGCGAUGAAGCCCUUCGGGGUGUAAAGCUCUUUCGGCAGGGAAGAUGAUGACGGUACCUGCAGAAGCAGCUGCGGCUAACUACGUGCCAGCAGCCGCGGUAAUACGUAGGCAGCGAGCGUUGUUCGGAGUUACUGGGCGUAAAGGGUGUGUAGGCGGUUGUUUAAGUUUGGUGUGAAAUCUCCCGGCUCAACUGGGAGGGUGCGCCGAAUACUGAAUGACUUGGAGUGCGGGAGAGGAAAGUGGAAUUCCUGGUGUAGCGGUGAAAUGCGUAGAUAUCAGGAGGAACACCGGUGGUGUAGACGGCUUUCUGGACCGUAACUGACGCUGAGACACGAAAGCGUGGGUAGCAAACAGGAUUAGAUACCCUGGUAGUCCACGCCCUAAACGAUGCAUAUUUGGUGUGGGCAGUUCAUUCUGU